RNAcentral lists this transfer RNA (78 nucleotides) under Melampsora larici-populina 98AG31. RNAcentral describes it as "tRNA-Leu (AAG) (tRNA-Leu-AAG-4-1)". It matches the Rfam family "tRNA". Rfam says of the family: Transfer RNA (tRNA) molecules are approximately 80 nucleotides in length. Their secondary structure includes four short double-helical elements and three loops (D, anti-codon, and T loops). Lineage: Eukaryota; Fungi; Basidiomycota; Pucciniomycetes; Pucciniales; Melampsoraceae. The record is from RNAcentral.
GGAGAUUUGGCCGAGUGGUCUAAGGCGCCGUCUUAAGGCGGCGGUCCUCGGGCGUGGGUUCGAAUCCCACGGUCUUCA